GGAUGAGACCCUUUCGGGGGUACACGAGGGGCGAACGGGUGAGUAACACGUGGGUGCCCUGCCCUCCACUUUGGGAUAAGCCCGGGAAACUGGGUUUAAUACCGGAUAGGACCCCUUUUCGCAUGGUUGGUGGUGGAAAGUUUUUUUGGUGGGGGAUGGGCCCCGCGGCCUUUCAGCUUGUUGGUGGGGUGAUGGCCUACCAAGGCGGUGACGGGUAGCCGGCCCUGAGAGGGCGACCGGCCCCCCUGGGACUGAGACCCGGCCCAGAUUCCUACGGGAGGCAGCAGUGGGGAAUAUUGCGCAAUGGGCGGAAGCCUGACGCAGCGACGCCGCGUGGGGGAUGACGGCCUUCGGGUUGUAAACCUCUUUCGCCAGGGACGAAGAGCAAUUGACGGUACCUGGAGAAGAAGCACCGGCCAACUACGUGCCAGCAGCCGCGGUAACACGUAGGGUGCGAGCGUUGUCCGGAAUUAUUGGGCGUAAAGAGCUCGUAGGCGGUGUGUCGCGUCGGCCGUGAAAACUUGGGGCUUAACUCUGAGCGUGCGGUCGAUACGGGCAUCACUUGAGUUCGGCAGGGGAGACUGGAAUUCCUGGUGUAGCGGUGAAAUGCGCAGAUAUCAGGAGGAACACCGGUGGCGAAGGCGGGUCUCUGGGCCGAUACUGACGCUGAGGAGCGAAAGCGUGGGGAGCGAACAGGAUUAGAUACCCUGGUAGUCCACGCCGUAAACGUUGGGCGCUAGGUGUGGGGACCAUUCCACGGUUUCUGUGCCGCAGCUAACGCAUUAAGCGCCCCGCCUGGGGAGUACGGCCGCAAGGCUAAAACUCAAAGGAAUUGACGGGGGCCCGCACAAGCGGCGGAGCAUGUGGAUUAAUUCGAUGCAACGCGAAGAACCUUACCUGGGUUUGACAUGCACCAGACAUCCCUAGAGAUAGGGCUUCCCUUGUGGUUGGUGUGCAGGUGGUGCAUGGCUGUCGUCAGCUCGUGUCGUGAGAUGUUGGGUUAAGUCCCGCAACGAGCGCAACCCUUGUUCCAUGUUGCCAGCACGUAAUGGUGGGGACUCAUGGGAGACUGCCGGGGUCAACUCGGAAGGAAGGUGGGGAUGACGUCAAGUCAUCAUGCCCCUUAUGUCCAGGGCUUCACACAUGCUACAAUGGCUCAUACAGAGGGCUGCGAGACCGUGAGGUGGAGCGAAUCCCUUAAAGUGAGUCUCAUUUCGGAUCGGGGUCUGCAACUCGACCCCGUGAAGUUGGAGUCGCUAGUAAUCGCAGAUCAGCAACGCUGCGGUGAAUACUUUCCCGGGCCUUUUACACACCGCCCGUCACGUCACGAAAGUUGUUAACACCCGAACGCCGUGCCGAUGCCGCUUUGAGAAUUCCUAUGGGAAAAACCCAAAAGGAAAAAAAAACCUAAGGGAAUUCG
This 1420-nucleotide ribosomal RNA is filed under the name Pseudonocardia sp. RNAcentral describes it as "bacterial SSU rRNA". It matches the Rfam family "Bacterial small subunit ribosomal RNA". The record is from RNAcentral. Lineage: Bacteria; Bacillati; Actinomycetota; Actinomycetes; Pseudonocardiales; Pseudonocardiaceae.